Long non-coding RNA from Oreochromis aureus, 1452 nucleotides. RefSeq lists it as uncharacterized. The record is from RefSeq and is a predicted model, not a curated record. The transcript is spliced from 3 exons. NCBI's taxonomy places the organism in Eukaryota, Metazoa, Chordata, Actinopteri, Cichliformes, Cichlidae.
GUGCUCUGUGACCGUCCUUGCGAGUGAAAGAACUGCAGUGUUUUGUGUUUUCUAACUCAGGAGUCUUGGCUGAAGAGAGAACGGCAGGGUGAUUUAAAGAAAUCCCCUGUCAUUUAAAUUGGUCCUUCGAGCCUAGCGAUGGAAACAACAGACACGUUUCUGUGACUCCAAUAAGGUCUGACUGCUGCAUCCUGACGUCGUGGGUAAACCAGCACCGAAGUCUGUCGACAGCCCUCUCCAGGUAGAGGUGAGAGUCCUGGAACGUUGAAUUCGGGUCCAGGCCGGUGAUUUAGUUCUGGUCCACGACAUUGGGAUCCAGAUGACCUGAACAACCAGCAAAAGACGACUGAGGUGUGUCAAUACAGGUGGAUUUCUCUCAACCUGGAACCUUGAGUACAGCGGCAAAAGCAUAGAUUAAUUGGGAAAACAAGCCACUUUUUGGCUAAAAUUUUACAGCUUGACCUCUCACUUUGUCCCGACCCUGAGAAGAAGCUCAAAGGACAGUUAAUCUCCUGAUGAAGACCGACAGAACAUCGUGGACUUGAAGAAUUAACAGCAGGCAAAAGACAGUGCAAAUGAAACAAGUCUGACUGACAACUGCAACAGCAGAAUGAAAGAAACCACGUGAUGAAAACAUGCACGAGGAAACUGCAGGCUGGUAAAGAACAGUGUCACAUGACUGUUCGAAGGCACUGAACAUGAUAUUUUGCCGGGCUGGAACUUAACUUAAAAGAAGAAUACUGAAAGAUCAAAACAGAGAAGAAACAGACUGUGUUUGUUGGAGCUUUGAAGGCCACACAAGGACACUGUGAAAAAGGGACGAGGACUGAUGGGAGGUGAAACAGGACAAGUUCGAGUGCAAGAAUACAGGAUAUGAUUGGAUUGAAAUUGAAGGCUGAACUCACGAUUGUUUAGAGAUGUCCACCACAUCACAAACAAAAGAAGGUGGUAACUGGCGUCUCACUACUGGCAACGGCUCUGCUCAUCACACUAUCCACCCAGGAAGAAGGAAGAAUUCAAACUCUGGACAACUGGACAAAAUGUACUCAACUCACUCUUCCUGUGGGCAGGAGUUGGGAAAACGUGCUCUCAGAAGUGAGAUACUGGACUAUAGAUUCGGCUUGUUUCUCAAAGCAUCCUGGAAGGUCAACGAGGGACAAAACCAAGAAAUAGACGCUCUCAGAGUUGCUGUGAUGCAACAUCGUGUAGCACUGCACAUGAUCCUGGCUGAGAAAGGAGGAUUGUGUGUCUUAUUCAACACCACAUGCUGCACUUACAUACCAGAUAAUGUACAUUCUUCAGACAUGACUUCAGAUUUUAAAGAGACCGUUGAUUGUCGUUGGACUUUUCCUGAUUUUAUUUUGUUUUCUUUAUUUGAGUUAUUCCUUGUUUAAAAGCUGUAAUUUCACAGAUGAUAAGUUUAUCAUUCACAGCAUACGCAGAUGUACUGAA